UUCCUGGGCCAUUAGCUCAGGUGGUUAGAGCGCACCCCUGAUAAGGGAGAGGUCCCUGGUUCAAGUCCAGGAUGGCCCAUUCGGUGUUGGGGGUUUAGCUCAGUUGGUAGAGCGCCUGCUUUGCAAGCAGGAUGUCAGCGGUUCGAGUCCGCUAACCUCCAUCAAUUCUGAUGUGGGAAACGGCAGAACGCCAUGGUGAUCUAGGGGAAGGUUUGUUGGUGAAUCCAGCCUCGUUUGAUACUCGUUAGUCGAGCUCAAAUGAUGCUGGACUCAGCAAUGGGUUCAGCAAGAACCUUGACAACUGCAUAGGUGAGUCUGGAAAUAAGCAUCUCACAGAGAUGAUCCAGGCAUUGAUUGAUGAUUUUGGUCAUCAAUGGAUGGAUGGAUUGUUAAUUCUGUGGAAGCCGAGAUCCAGUUGACUUGUCAACUGGAGAGUGAAAAUGGUCAAGCUACAAAGGGCUCACGGCGGAUACCUUGGCACACAGAGGCGAUGAA
This 495-nucleotide transfer RNA is filed under the name uncultured cyanobacterium. Its description in RNAcentral is "partial contains 16S-23S ribosomal RNA intergenic spacer and 23S ribosomal RNA". The stretch from base 89 to 161 matches the Rfam family "tRNA". The record is from RNAcentral. Lineage: Bacteria; Bacillati; Cyanobacteriota.